Long non-coding RNA from Amblyraja radiata (thorny skate), 1423 nucleotides. RefSeq lists it as uncharacterized. The record is from RefSeq and is a predicted model, not a curated record. NCBI's taxonomy places the organism in Eukaryota, Metazoa, Chordata, Chondrichthyes, Rajiformes, Rajidae. The transcript has 2 exons.
GACAUUUCAAAAACAUAAAGAAGCUUUUACUAUCCUCCUUUAUAUUCUUGGCUAGCUUACCUCCGUACCUCAUCCUUUCUCCCCGUAUUGCCUUUUUAGUUAUCAUCUGUUAUUCUUUAAAAGUUGCUCAAUCCUCUGGCUUACCGCUCAUCUUUUCUGUUAUACCUCUUUUCUGUUAUUCCUCUUCCUACAAUCAGUCUGAAGCAGGAUCCUGACCUAAAACAUCACUCAUCCAUCGCGUUAUGAUGCUAUGUGAAAAGUCAGUGAUGUACCGUGGAAAACAUUAAAACUAUCAAUUCAGCAUUCCUAAAAAUCCUGCUUUGAAAUAUAUCUUUGCACAAAUGAAUGUUACAUCUCUCAUUUUCAUUCCCUCCACAGAGGUGUCUGACCCUCUGAGUUACUCCAGUGCUUUGUAGAUAUUUCUUACCUGGCAUAAUUAUUGGAGCCGCUUCUGGUUUCAGCCUUGAAUUAAUAUUGCAUUUGAAUCAUCAUGGCCUAUGUCAUCUUUGGACUUUGACCUAAACAGUUGAAAAGAACCACACAACCAUCAGGAGGUAAAUCAGCAAGUAUAUUUAAAUUGUCUAGCUGGGCUUCUGCUGAAUGGGAUGGGCUAAAUAGAUCCCAAUAGGAGUGGACUUGUGUGUACUCUUUCUCUUUUCCCUUUUAAAUUCCAGUCACAUUUAACAACGUCCAUCCAGAAGUGAGGUUCAUACAUCAAUUGACUUGACCUCUCUGGAAAAAGUUUGUUUUUGCUUGAUUUGAGGGACUGACCUUUUCUUGAAACAAGAAUUAAUAAAUAGGUUUUCAAGAAGGAACUGCAGAUGCUGGAAGAUCGAAGGUACACAAAAAUGCUGGAGAAACUCAGCGGGUGCAGCAGCAUCUAUGGAGCGAAGGAAAUAGGCGACGUUUCGGGCCGAAACCCUUCUUCAGAAUAAAUAGCCUGCUGGGCAUGUCCCACAGCCUCGCCGUUGAGAAAUGAUGACAGUAAGAAGAAUUACAUCUGCUUGUAACUGUCCUAUUCAACACAUUUCCACUCACUUUAUAAAGAAAUAUUCUCUUUGUUCUGGGACUUGAGGGAGGUCACAUGCAGGAGGUGCAAAGAGACUUGAGAGCGCUGGUGCAGGAUGCCCGAAAGAUUCAUUUGGACGAUGAAUUUGAUAGUAAGGAAGGUAAAUGCAGUGUUAGCAUUUAUUUCGAGAGAAUGAAUGAAUAAGUUUAUUGUCCAAGUAUGUUCACAUACAAGGAAUUUUCCUUGGUGCUCCGCUCACAAGUAACAACACGACAUACAGUGACAAUUAAGAAUGACACAUAAAACAUUCAACAUUAAUAAUACAACAUUAUCGUUUAAACGUGAAUGAAAUAAAAUACCAGAGCAAAAGGAGGCUACAGAUUUUUGGUUAUUGAGUAGAGCUACUGCUCGUGG